AUCCUUUUUUGGUUCAUAAGCAUGAUGAUUGGGAAUUCACACCAAUGUGUGAUGUGUGCUGUGCCGCCCACUAAACCUUGUUACAACAUUGGCACAUUACCCAUCUGAUG
This 110-nucleotide small nucleolar RNA is filed under the name Neotoma lepida (desert woodrat). RNAcentral describes it as "Small nucleolar RNA U13". It matches the Rfam family "Small nucleolar RNA U13". The record is from Rfam by way of RNAcentral. Lineage: Eukaryota; Metazoa; Chordata; Mammalia; Rodentia; Cricetidae.